Molecule: ribosomal RNA, 1054 nt
Filed under: Feltria menzeli
Lineage: Eukaryota; Metazoa; Arthropoda; Arachnida; Trombidiformes; Feltriidae
Description: partial large subunit ribosomal RNA
Rfam family: Eukaryotic large subunit ribosomal RNA
Source: RNAcentral
CCGCUUGCAGGGAAACAGAUGGACCCACGAAGUCCAGUUGAUCAUAAAAUUCAUAUCUUCUUAUUUGCUAUAUGUAUGAGUGCUAUAUCUCUUAGUGGAUAUACCUUGUUAUAUUGGUAAAUUAGAUGAUGCAUUUUUUAUGAUCACGAUGGAGCUCUGACUUCUCUAACCUAACUUGAUUGUUUAAGGCAGCAUCGUUUUGUGGUCGAUUGAACUUGUUUUUAAUCAUUUCACUUAACUUUGUUUACACUCAAGUUGAAUAGAGAGGAUGAAUUACUAACAUGUAUGUUAGUUUGAUCAGGUUGUCGAUGGAUCUUCAUCUUCAGGGCAUGGAUGAAUGUAAAACUUUGUCUCUUGUAGUCAAAACUUAUAUUCACUUUCAUGUCCAAUAUGUUGAUGAAGUGAGAUCAAUGAUAAUCCAGAGUAAGUAGGUCGGUCAUCCAUCUGACCCGUCUUGAAACACGGACCAAGGAGCCCAACAACUACGCAAGUCGCUCAGUCUUGUUUAGGCUAGAGAGGCGAAAUAAACAUAAUGGUAUGAUCCUCUUAAAAAGGGCGCAAUACCAACCUGCUUUAUAUGCUUUCCUUGCAUUAAAGUGGCGUUUGAGCGUAAUUGUUGGUACCCGAAAGAUGGUGAACUAUACUUGGGCAAGACGAAGCCAGAGGAAACUCUGGUGGAGGUCUGUAGCGAUUCUGACGUGCAAAUCGAUCGUCAGACCUGAGUAUAGGGGCGAAAGACUAAUCGAACCAUCUAGUAGCUGGUUCCCUCCGAAGUUUCCCUCAGGAUAGCUGGUACUAAUACAAACUCUGUAGCAUCUGGUAAAGCGAAUGAUUAGAGGUAUUGGGAUCGAAACGAUCUCAACCUAUUCUCAAACUUUAAAUGGGUGCGAAGUAUGACUUUUUUUGCUUAAAGCCUUACUUUGUAAGAGGAGUACCAAGUGGGCCAUUUUUGGUAAGCAGAACUGGCGCUGUGGGAUGAACCAAACAUUGAGUUAAGGAACCCAAUGCUGACGCUCAUGAGACCCCAGAAAAGGUGUUGGUUGCUAUAGACAGC